UUGUGAUUGUUGACGGUCCGGAUCUGAUCUAUCUACUCGGCAAUUCAUCCGGUGACUUCACGGUCGCCAAAGAAGCCCAAGUUUAUGGCCAUCUUGCAUUUGGGAGCAACCCUUUUGUUCCAAUGGGUGUCUUUGGGUUUAUUGUUCCUGUUAUCACUCUUGGGUCCUUGUCCAAGAGAUGAAUGGUACCUGGUUGGAGGCUUGGUUGGUUUGUGACUCCUAGUGGCACUUUCAAAAAUCCCAAGGUAGUUGAGCGCAUUACAAAGUAUUUUGAUCUUUUGGGAGGUCCAGCCACGGACCAUCAUUCAGGUGAAACUAAACCUAUUGCGUCUAGAAGAUUUUAGCGAUGAUAUUGAUUUUUGUUUCAAACUUGCAAAGGAGGAAUCUAUUGUCAUUCUUCCAGGAACAACGGUUGGACUAAAAGAUUUGCUUUGCAUUACUUUAGCUGCCGAUGCAUCUGCCCUUACAAAAGGUUUGAAAAGGGUCAAAGUUUUUUGACAAAGACAUGCCAGAAAAUGGCUGAAGCAAUGUUGAAUCCAGAAUAUAAAAUGGCUACUAAAUAUGUGAUGGCUACUAAAUUUUCAGGUGUUUCAAAAACAUUGGGG
Molecule: long non-coding RNA, 605 nt
Organism: Arachis stenosperma
Lineage: Eukaryota; Viridiplantae; Streptophyta; Magnoliopsida; Fabales; Fabaceae
Exons: 4
Source: RefSeq, a predicted model, not a curated record